RNAcentral lists this ribosomal RNA (800 nucleotides) under uncultured Micrococcineae bacterium. Its description in RNAcentral is "bacterial SSU rRNA". It matches the Rfam family "Bacterial small subunit ribosomal RNA", at positions 29 to 842 of the family's 1533-position model. Lineage: Bacteria; Bacillati; Actinomycetota; Actinomycetes; Micrococcales. The record is from RNAcentral.
ACGAACGCUGGCGGCGUGCUUUAUACAUGCAAGUCGAACGAUGAAGUUCCUUCGGGAAUGGAUUAGUGGCGAACGGGUGAGGAACACGUGAGAAACCUGCCUUUCAUUCUGGGGAUAACACCGGGAAACCGGUGCUAAUACCGGAUACUCCGUCUUGGCGGCAUCGCCGAGCCGGGAAAAAAUUUUGAUGAAAGAUGGUCUCGCGGCCUAUCAGCUAGUUGGUGAGGUAAAGGCUCACCAAGGCGACGACGGGUAGCCGGCCUGAGAGGGCGACCGGCCACACUGGGACUGAGACACGGCCCAGACUCCUACGGGAGGCAGCAGUAGGGAAUAUUGGGCAAUGGGCGCAAGCCUGACCCAGCGACGCCGCGUGAGGGAUGAAGGUCUUCGGAUUGUAAACCUCUUUCAGUAGGGAAGAAGCGAAAGUGACGGUACCUAAAGAAGAAGCACCGGCUAACUAUGUGCCAGCAGCCGCGGUAAUACAUAGGGUGCAAGCGUUGUCCGGAAUUAUUGGGCGUAAAGAGCUCGUAGGUUGUUUGUCGCGUCGAUUGUGAAAAUCUGAGGCUCAACCUCAGACCUGCAGUCGAUACGGGCAGACUAGAGUGUGGUAGGGGAGACUGGAAUUCCUGGUGUAGCGGUGGAAUGCGCAGAUAUCAGGAGGAACACCAAUGGCGAAGGCAGGUCUCUGGGCCAUAACUGACACUGAGGAGCGAAAGUGCGGGGAGCGAACAGGAUUAGAUACCCUGGUAGUCCGCACCGUAAACGGUGGGCACUAGUUGUGGGAACCUUCCACGGUUUCC